RNAcentral lists this long non-coding RNA (1021 nucleotides) under Marmota monax (woodchuck). Lineage: Eukaryota; Metazoa; Chordata; Mammalia; Rodentia; Sciuridae. The record is from RNAcentral.
CACCAAUUCAGGUCUGCCUUCCUCAACUUCAGCACAGGGAGCUUUCAGAAAGUCCCUGGGUAUUACCAGAUCCUGAUUUUCAAAUUUUUUUAUACUGCAAUCCAAUCCACAGUAAGAGAUCCAUGUUAUAGCUGGGCAUAGUGAUGCACACCUGUAAUCCCAGAUACUCAGAAAUCUGAGGCAGGAGGAUCAAAAGCUCCAGGCCAGCCUCAGCAAUUUAGCAAAACCCUGUUGCAAAAUAAAAAUUCUAGAAAACAGCUAUGGGGUGUAGCUCAGUGGUAGAGCACUUGCCCAGAAAGGGUUAGGCCCUGGAUUUAACUCCCAGUUCUACAACAAACAAACAAAAUGUUUUUAACUGCUUGAAAUUCAGUUUGUUUCCGUACCAGUGGGUUAAGGCCAGCAGUCUGAAAUGCACAUUCAAUACCCCUGAAUUAUGCAGACACUCUGCAGAGAAUACCUCUGCUGUCCACAGCCAUGUGUCCUGCAGGAGAAACCAGGUUGAAGGGCAAGUCCUGGUCCAAGGCCACUCCUGAGACCGUCCUUGGUGAGCGAUACAAAGUCACCAUAAGGUUGACUAUAUUGAGUCAUAGAACGGAUGAGACCAAUUAUAGUUUUAGGAUGACAAAACAAGAUGAAUUAUUGAGGACUCUCUAUGUGCCAGGCAUUGUUCUAAGCACUUUAUACCAAUUAACACAUCUAAUCCUCACAACAUCACAGUGCCAUACGUAGUAUUAUUAAUCCCUGAUGUACAGUUUGAGAAUGUAACCUCCAGAAAGCAGCUAUUAAACAUGGAGCUAGCAAUCAAAGCUGGGCAGAUUGGCUACAGGGCCCCCCAACUCCAAUACCACACCUCCCUCCUCCCUACCCCAGACAUACUUGGGCUUUCCCCGACUGGUCGCUUUGCCAUCUUUUCAAAGAAUUGCAUGCAGUGCUGAGCUAGCAGGUUCUGGGAACAGUUCCACAGAGGAUUUAGACAAGAGCCAAAGUUGUAGCAUCCACCAACCCAGAUGACCAUUCCAAC